This is a small nucleolar RNA of Ictidomys tridecemlineatus (thirteen-lined ground squirrel), 138 nucleotides long. Its record names the gene SNORA75. It matches the Rfam family "Small nucleolar RNA SNORA75". Rfam says of the family: U23 belongs to the H/ACA class of snoRNAs. snoRNAs bind a number of proteins (including dyskerin, Gar1p and Nop10p in the case of the H/ACA class) to form snoRNP complexes. This class are thought to guide the sites of modification of uridines to pseudouridines by forming direct base pairing interactions with substrate RNAs. Targets include ribosomal and spliceosomal RNAs as well as the Trypanosoma spliced leader RNA (SL RNA) as possibly other, still unknown cellular RNAs. The record is from Ensembl. Lineage: Eukaryota; Metazoa; Chordata; Mammalia; Rodentia; Sciuridae.
ACCUUCUCAUUGAUCUCCUUUCUGUUGGUUGGUGGCAGUUUGUGGAUUCAAUACAAGAAGGAGAGACAAUUCAGAGAAGUAGCAUUAUAUCGUUUUCUGUAUUUGAAGAGGUAUAUUUGGCUAUUUUGUGAGACAUUC